CCUGCCCCUAGAGGAGUUGCAGGCAUGGCUGCUGUGUCACAUGUGCAUCUGUAGGUGGCAAAAAGCAGAGAAGGUGUGUCUAUGCUCAGUGUUCUGAUCUAUGAACAUCUGAAUGAUUAGUACCCUAACAUU
Grammomys surdaster is the source of this 132-nucleotide small nucleolar RNA. RefSeq annotates it as small nucleolar RNA SNORA17. The record is from RefSeq and is a predicted model, not a curated record. NCBI's taxonomy places the organism in Eukaryota, Metazoa, Chordata, Mammalia, Rodentia, Muridae. The transcript has a single exon.